This 332-nucleotide unclassified non-coding RNA is filed under the name uncultured fungus. RNAcentral describes it as "partial contains 5.8S ribosomal RNA, internal transcribed spacer 2, and large subunit ribosomal RNA". The record is from RNAcentral. Lineage: Eukaryota; Fungi.
AACGCACAUUGCGCUUGAGGCUUCGGCCAAGAGCAUGUCUGCCUCAGCGUCGGGUUAAUAUCGCAAACCUAACUCAUGUGCUAGCAUAUGAGAUAGCAGAGCGGAUCUGGCUGUUCCAGUUAGUGUGGUGUACUUCGGUAUGCAUAUAUACACCUGGAUCGGCUGAAGAUAAGAGGCUAACCAAGGACCCGUAAAGGGCCGCAACUGGGUGGGCAGAAAUGCUAUAUUCUUAGUUGUUGGCUUGGGACUUUGAUUGUUCGGCCCUCGAAACAGGAAACCUAUUAACCUAUUUUCUCGACCUGAGCUCAGGCAAGAACACCCGCUGAACUUAA